This is a long non-coding RNA of Spodoptera frugiperda (fall armyworm), 764 nucleotides long. RefSeq lists it as uncharacterized. Lineage: Eukaryota; Metazoa; Arthropoda; Insecta; Lepidoptera; Noctuidae. The record is from RefSeq and is a predicted model, not a curated record. The transcript has 2 exons.
ACUUGUAACGCCUCUGGUGUUUCAAGUGUCCAUGGGCGGCGGCGAUUGUUUACCAUCAGGUGAUACGUCAAAACAUAAUUUUAGACCAAUUUGUUGGUCGAGUGGUAACAACUAUCACAGCUUAACGAGGUCCUAAUUUCGAUUCCCGGGCUGUGAAACUGAGUUUUUCAUUGUCGAAACGCUCAGUAAUAGCUCGGAGUCUGUAGUUUUUAGUGUUCUGGGAAUAUUCACCCCCCUAUUACAUGGGACUCAUAACGUAAGUGGUGAAAAGUGGGUGUUGUUGAAGGCACCUCUGCCUAUCCCUUCAGGGUAUUUGUCUCCAUUUUAUAAUAAGUAUAUGACUGCCUCGUUGUUCGAGUGGACAAGAGGUCUCGGGUUCGAUUCCCAGAUCGGGCAGAGUAUUACUGGGCUUUUUUCGGUUUUUCGAAAAUUUCUCAGUAGUAGCACGGAGUCUGGAAUUGUGCCCGGUAAAUGGCAAUAGGCUCACCCCCUAUUACAUGGGACUUAUAACACAAAUGGUGAAAAGUGUGUGUACAUUGUAUAGCGGCAUUACCUGCCGUAAUGUGCACCUCUGCCUACCCCUUCGGGGAUAAAAGGCGUGACGUUGUGUGUUUAUAAUAAGUAGUUUUUCGAAAUGAUUCUAAUAAUUAUGUUUGUAGAUUAUUAAUAUUAAAUGUAUUAUUUUUUUUUGUAAUCAAAUGUUACAUACAGAAAAAAAAGAAUGAAUGAAAAAACCAAAUAAAUUUUAUGAUUUUUUUAAAAAA